This 406-nucleotide ribosomal RNA is filed under the name uncultured bacterium. RNAcentral's name for it is "partial 16S ribosomal RNA". It matches the Rfam family "Bacterial small subunit ribosomal RNA", at positions 28 to 526 of the family's 1533-position model. The record is from RNAcentral.
GACGAACGCUGGCGGCGUGCCUAAUACAUGCAAGUCGAACGAGUGGCGAACGGGUGAGUAAUACGUGGGUAACCUUCCCUCUUUUUGGGAUAAGCCUUUGAAAAGGGGUCUAAUACCGAAUAACGGGGGAUGGGCUCGCGGCCUAUCAGCUUGUUGGUGGGGUGAUGGCCUACCAAGGCGGUGUCGGGUAGCAGGCCUGAGAGGGUGACCGGCAAUGAUGGGACUGAGAUACUGCCAAGACUACUACGGGAGGCAGCAGUUGGGGAUGUUGAACAAGGCGCGAAAGCCUGAUGCAGGUACGCCGCGUAGGGGAUGGAGGCUUUCGGGUUGUAAACCUCUUUCGAUGUCGAACGGUUAGGUGGAGAAGAAGCGCCGGCUAACUACGUGCCAGCAGCCGCGGUAAUUC